This 473-nucleotide ribosomal RNA is filed under the name uncultured bacterium. RNAcentral's name for it is "bacterial SSU rRNA". It matches the Rfam family "Bacterial small subunit ribosomal RNA", at positions 29 to 507 of the family's 1533-position model. The record is from RNAcentral.
AGUUAACGUUGGCGGCGUGCCUAACACAUGCAAGUCGAACGCGUCCUAAGGGCAACUUUAGGAUGAGUGGCGAACGGGUGAGUAUCACGUGGGUAAUCUUCCUUUAAGUGGGGAAUAAGCUCUCGAAAGGGAGUCUAAUACCGCAUGACAUUCCGGGACACAAGUCCCGUAAUCAAAGCCGCAAGGCGCUUGAAGAUGAGCCUGCGUCCUAUUAGCUAGUUGGUGGGGUAACGGCCUACCAAGGCUCAGAUGGGUAGCCGGCCUGAGAGGGUGAACGGCCACACUGGGACUGAGGACACGGCCCAGACUCCUACGGGAGGCAGCAGUGAGGAAUUUUGCGCAAUGGGGGAAACCCUGACGCAGCGACGCCGCGUGGAGGAUGAAGGCCUUCGGGUCGUAAACUCCUGUCAGAGGUGAAGAAUGCCCGCAAGGGUUUGACGGUAACCUCAGAGGAAGCCCCGGCUAACUACGUG